GCCGGGCGUGGUGGCGCAUGCCUGUAAUCCCAGCUAUUCAGGAGGCUGAGGCAGGAGAAUCGCUUGAACUCGGGAGGCAGAGGUUGCAGUGAGCUGAGAUUGCACCACUGCACUCCAGCCUGGGCGACAGAGCGAGACUCUGUCUCAG
This 148-nucleotide small RNA is filed under the name Pongo abelii (Sumatran orangutan). Its description in RNAcentral is "Metazoan signal recognition particle RNA (ENSPPYG00000030162.1)". The record is from Rfam by way of RNAcentral. Lineage: Eukaryota; Metazoa; Chordata; Mammalia; Primates; Hominidae.